AUUGCAAAGCCACUGAAUUUUAGUCAUAAUUCUGCCCGUUUUCCGUAAAUUGCAAUACGAUUUUAUUAUUUUAAGUUUAUGCAUAUACAUAUAAAACAAAUAUCUUCAGUCACCAUUUGAAGUCUGAGUUGGGUGUAGAUUGCCAAAACUGUGCUGCCAAGAUGUUGUAACAAAUCUCGCGAUAGGAUAGAUCAUCUCGCGAUAGGAUAGAUUAUCUCGCGAUGGGAUAGAUUAGCUCGCAAUACAAUACAUUAUCUCGCGAGAAAACUUUAACACGUUUUUAUCUUUCCAUAACCAGGAGGAGAGCGCGUCGUUGUGUUACAAAGCUUUACGCGUUGAUUUAUUACAAAAUCACUGGUGGUGGAUGCACAACAUGACACCAUCAGCGUCAACAACAUUCGUGGACCCGUGGACACAUGUUGAGGUGGUCACAUAACGAACAUCUGUCAGGCCAUGUGCCACAACCAAACAAGUAUUGUCUCCAGUCCCAAAUGCUUCAUUGCCAUCCCAGUCCCAGAGGACCCCCAGUGUAUGUGAGAAUUUUGCUGUCGCAUCUUAUUUUAUACACAUUAUACCUUAAUACCAACACAGCCUAAUGUAUAAAUACAUACAUUUCUCUGAAUCAGAAUUCAUACAGUUAAAAAUAUAGAGGCUACAAUGUCUGUCAUUGCUCAACAAUAGGUAAAGUACAGCCAGCUAAUUUGACAGUAACUAAUGCAGUAAAAUUGCACAGCAGCCUUAUUACUUUACCUUCACUUAUAGCCAACCCUGGUCCUCGAGAGCCACUGCACUGCUUGUUUUCCAGCUGUCCCUGCCCUUCCAGCUUCUGACUGACAACACACCUGAUCCAUUACUAAUCAGCAGUGAGUAAGGCAUGGAUAGUUGGUAAACAAGCAGAGUCAUGUCAAAUGCUUAAUGGCCAAAUUAAUUUAUGAGGGGUGGUGGCCAACUUUCAAAGCAUUUCAAGGCUACAGCUUUGUACUAUGUAAUUUAAGAUGCUCUGAAGAGGUGGAGUCCAACUGCCACAGACUCCGAAAUUGAUGCAUUAAUGGCGGAACACCUAAAACACGCUCCAGGAAGAGCUGGGGGCGGUGGUUAUAAGAAAUAAGCUGUUUUGAGAGACAUUUACAUGUGUGUUUACAUUAAUCCAGUAUUUUUGUUUUGUACUUGUUUGAUUUAUAGCUGUUUAAAAUUUAAUGCAAAACCGUUUCAAUUAAAAAAAUUGAGUACUGCCACAAUAAUAAUGCUUCUGGAAGAGCAAGUGCUUGUGGAGCAACAAAAUGAUAGUAAACAUUUUGGAAUAAUGAUAAAUAAAUAAAAGAUUAUAAAUAUACAUAUGUGUUCACUUUUAUCUGUUACCUUGGUUAUGUUCUUGUUUGAAUAAUGGCUACUUAAAAUUAAUGUCAAGCUUUGAGAAAAUUGGUGCAUGCUUAGAAUUAACUACAUUAUAUUAUUUCUGUUUUCAUGUUUAAAUAGUAGCUGUUUAACAAAUGGAAGACCUUGAAAAAAAUGUAAUAUGCACAAAAUAUGUUGUAGUAAAUUAGAACGGUCUAAUUCUUGCUUAAGUCCACACAAUGUUUUAUUGUUUGUAAUGUACACGUGAUUAAAACGUUUUGUAGACGUUCA
This is a long non-coding RNA of Labeo rohita (rohu), 1626 nucleotides long. RefSeq lists it as uncharacterized. The record is from RefSeq and is a predicted model, not a curated record. Lineage: Eukaryota; Metazoa; Chordata; Actinopteri; Cypriniformes; Cyprinidae. The transcript is spliced from 6 exons.